UUGAACGCUGGCGGUAUGCUUAACACAUGCAAGUCGAACGGGGGUAGUAAUACCCUAGUGGCGCACGGGUGCGUAACGCGUGGGAAUCUGCCCUUCGGUUCGGAAUAACAGUUAGAAAUGACUGCUAAUACCGGAUGAUGACGUAAGUCCAAAGAUUUAUCGCCGAAGGAUGAGCCCGCGUAAGAUUAGCUUGUUGGUGAGGUAAAGGCUCACCAAGGCUACGAUCUUUAGCUGGUCUGAGAGGAUGAUCAGCCACACUGGGACUGAGACACGGCCCAGACUCCUACGGGAGGCAGCAGUGGGGAAUAUUGGACAAUGGGGGAAACCCUGAUCCAGCAAUGCCGCGUGAGUGAUGAAGGCCUUAGGGUUGUAAAGCUCUUUUACCCGGGAUGAUAAUGACAGUACCGGGAGAAUAAGCUCCGGCUAACUCCGU
RNAcentral lists this ribosomal RNA (433 nucleotides) under uncultured bacterium. RNAcentral's name for it is "bacterial SSU rRNA". It matches the Rfam family "Bacterial small subunit ribosomal RNA", at positions 30 to 506 of the family's 1533-position model. The record is from RNAcentral.